UUUUUUGGUAGGAGUUAAGUAUUUCUCAAUUUAGUUACAGCAAGAGAGACUUGGUAGAGGAGCCCAGACCUGUUUCUGGCAAUCAGGAGUCAAGUGGGUUUUUAUUUGAAAUCAGAAGAAAAAAAAAUCCUGAUAAUAGGCCUGACGUUAAAAGGAUGCAACUAUAGAAAACUGGAGGGGCAGUCAGACAUGAGGAAGAGCACCUUAGCCCGACUUGAAAGUCUUAUAGGUUUCCGUAUUAUUAUUUUAGAUAGCAUUUAUGUUGUCCAACUAGAUAAUCCAAGAGCUUCUUAACAAGCUGAUUGUUGUCGAUGAUACUUACUUGAAGAAGACUUGAAUGUUUGUACUUAAUGCAUUAUUUUUUCUCCUUGAUUGUCCUCAUAAAA
RNAcentral lists this long non-coding RNA (386 nucleotides) under Elaeis guineensis (African oil palm). RNAcentral's name for it is "long non-coding RNA (EGUI_LNC034749)". Lineage: Eukaryota; Viridiplantae; Streptophyta; Magnoliopsida; Arecales; Arecaceae. The record is from RNAcentral.